Molecule: long non-coding RNA, 1075 nt
Organism: Bubalus bubalis (water buffalo)
Lineage: Eukaryota; Metazoa; Chordata; Mammalia; Artiodactyla; Bovidae
Exons: 3
Source: RefSeq, a predicted model, not a curated record
CCACAGCCCCCCCACCCCCACCUCCCUCCUUGGGAGUGAAGGCUGCCGCCAUUUCCUGCUUGCCAUUCACCUCACACAGUAGGAUGUCGCUCCAGAAAUUUGCUUCAGACAUCUUCAGAGCCUUCUGGAGUCUUCUCUGGUCCCAGCAUGGGCCACCAAAUGUUGACCUGAAACAAAUAGACAGCCAGAUAUUUCUCUAGCAAGGAUGAAUUUAUUCCAGACCAACAGCAAAUUGAAAUUCUGGAUCUGCAGCAUUGGUCCUGAAAAUCACUAAUCUGCUUUUUGUCUACAUAGAUUUGUAUAUUCUGGAUGCUUUGAAGUUAUAUAAUGUGAAGUCUUUUGUGAUUGGCUUCUUUCACUUAGCAUAGUAUUGUUAAGGGAUAUUCAUGUUGUAGCAUGGAUGGUACUUUGUUCAUUUUUAUGGCUAAAUAAUGUUCCAUUGUGUGAAUACAUUACUUUUGUUUAUUCAUUCAUCAGUUGAUAGACAUUUGUAUGGUUUCUGCUUUUUGGCUAUCAAGUAUAAUGAUGUUAUGGACAUUUGUGUAAAAGCUUUUGUGUAGACAUAUAUUUCAAGUCUCUUGGGCUUUUACCUAGGAUUGAUACUGCUGAGUGAAAUUGUGACUCUGUGUUUAACAUUUUUAAGAACUCCCAAAUUGCUUUCAAAAGUGCUUCACAUUUUUGCAUUCCCACUGGCAGUUUCUGAGUGUUCUAAUUCAUCACAUCCUCACCAACACUUGUUGCUUGUUUUUAUUUUUAUUUUUUUAUUUUAGUCAUUCUUAUAUAAAGGGACAUCAUAUUAUAGUUUUGAUUAGCAUUUUCCUUAUGACUACUUAUAUCAAGCAUGUUUUCAUGUGCUGUUGGACAUUUGUAUAUUUUCUUUGGAGAAGUGUCUAUGCAAAUAUUUUGCACAUUUUUAAUUGGGCUGCCUUUUCAAAUGAUUUCUAAGAGUUCUUUAUAUGUUGUGCAUACAGUAUCAUUGUCAGAUAAUUUAUUGUAAACAUCUUCUCCCAUUCUGUAUCAUUUCAUUUUCUUUGAAUUGAAUGUUUUUGGUAUUAAUAAAGUUUAUUUUUUUCUU